UGGGGAAUAUUGGACAAUGGGCGAAAGCCUGAUCCAGCCAUGCCGCGUGUGUGAAGAAGGUCUUCGGAUUGUAAAGCACUUUAAGUUGGGAGGAAGGGCAGUUACCUAAUACGUAUCUGUUUUGACGUUACCGACAGAAUAAGCACCGGCUAACUCUGUGCCAGCAGCCGCGGUAAUACAGAGGGUGCAAGCGUUAAUCGGAAUUACUGGGCGUAAAGCGCGCGUAGGUGGUUUGUUAAGUUGGAUGUGAAAUCCCCGGGCUCAACCUGGGAACUGCAUUCAAAACUGACAAGCUAGAGUAUGGUAGAGGGUGGUGGAAUUUCCUGUGUAGCGGUGAAAUGCGUAGAUAUAGGAAGGAACACCAGUGGCGAAGGCGACCACCUGGACUGAUACUGACGCUGAGGCACGAAAGUGUGGGGAUCAAACAGGAUUAGAUACCCACGUAGUCCCUGAGCGGGCUGGCAAGGCGCAU
This 472-nucleotide ribosomal RNA is filed under the name uncultured bacterium. RNAcentral's name for it is "bacterial SSU rRNA". It matches the Rfam family "Bacterial small subunit ribosomal RNA", at positions 355 to 825 of the family's 1533-position model. The record is from RNAcentral.